This 492-nucleotide ribosomal RNA is filed under the name uncultured bacterium. Its description in RNAcentral is "partial 16S ribosomal RNA". It matches the Rfam family "Bacterial small subunit ribosomal RNA", at positions 29 to 507 of the family's 1533-position model. The record is from RNAcentral.
AGUGAACGCUGGCGGUAUGCCUAACACAUGCAAGUCGAACGGCAGCACAGUAAGAGCUUGCUCUUACGGGUGGCGAGUGGCGGACGGGUGAGGAAUACAUCGGAAUCUACUUUUUCGUGGGUGAUAACGUAGGGAAACUUACGCUAAUACCGCAUACGACCUACUGGUGAAAGCAGGGGAUCUUCGGACCUUGCGCGAUUGAAUGAGCCGAUGUCGGAUUAGCUAGUUGGCGGGGUAAAGGCCCACCAAGGCGACGAUCCGUAGCUGGUCUGAGAGGAUGAUCAGCCACACUGGAACUGAGACACGGUCCAGACUCCUACGGGAGGCAGCAGUGGGGAAUAUUGGACAAUGGGCGCAAGCCUGAUCCAGCCAUACCGCGUGGGUGAAGAAGGCCUUCGGGUUGUAAAGCCCUUUUGUUGGGAAAGAAAAGCAGCAGGUUAAUACCCCGCUGUUCUGACGGUACCCAAAGAAUAAGCACCGGCUAACUUCGUG